This 254-nucleotide ribosomal RNA is filed under the name uncultured bacterium. Its description in RNAcentral is "partial 16S ribosomal RNA". It matches the Rfam family "Bacterial small subunit ribosomal RNA", at positions 524 to 776 of the family's 1533-position model. The record is from RNAcentral.
UACGAAGGGUGCAAGCGUUUAAUCGGAAUUACUGGGCGUAAAGGGUGCGUAGGCGGUUCGUUAAGUCUGUCGUGAAAUCCCCGGGCUCAACCUGGGAAUGGCGAUGGAUACUGGCGAGCUAGAGUGUGUCAGAGGAUGGUGGAAUUCCCGGUGUAGCGGUGAAAUGCGUAGAGAUCGGCAGGAACACCCAGGGGGAAACCAGCCGACUGGGCAUCUACUGACGCUGAGGUGCGAGAGCGUGGGGAGCGAACCGG